GGUGCAAGUAGGAGGCCAGGCAAGGAACCCCUAGAAGCAUCUAUACAGGAGUUUAGUAAGCUUUAUCCAGGCAAGUGAAACUCUUCCUUUAUACUUGCUUGAUAAUUGUAUACCCUGUGAAUGUUGAAUUACUGUUUAUUUAGGAUUGAAUUACCUUAUCACCCCUUAUGAUCAUGAUUGUGGAUUCCAAUAAUACCCUUAACAUUUGAAGUACCUUUUCAUGUAAUAUUACCCUACACCCACAUGAUUACACUCCAAUAGUCCCUUGAUGAAUAAUGAGAACUUGAUACCCCACAUUAAACUGAAUUAUCUCAUUUGGAACCCUGAUCUUAAUAACAUUUCCUAUUUUUGAAAGAUCACUUGUAUUUUGAAAACAUCCUUGCUUAUAACUUGUCUUUGAUCAAGACCCCUUUUUUUGAAAAUGAUUUGAUUUGAAAUGACCUUAAAAGGAAUUGGAUAAUAAUUUUAUAUUAAGACUGAGGCGCCAGUCUAUUAUUGCAGCAUCAGUAGCGGGGAGCCUGAUGUCUGUUUAUGGCCAAUGUGUGCCGAGGAUCCUCCCUGGUUGAAUCACUUUAUGUGGUUCGGAGCUUGGUGUGGGCUGAUCACCCCUCAAUGCUCGUAGCGCUGUGUGUUUCCAAUUCCAAUAAAUUGAUAUCCCACAUUGCACCUUUACUUGUGUUUACACCUUGUGAUGUCCGUUGUUGCUUUUGCACUUGAUAUAUUGCAUAUUGUGAACUGUUUUAUUUACUGUUUUCACUUGCUGAGCUUUUUGCUCAUAUAUAUUGUUGUUGUUAUAACCCUUCAGUGAAACCCGAGAAUGACCCGUCUCAAGCAGACCGCUCGUAAGACCACCUCAGGCAACGGGAUUGCUUUCCGCCGUAUGAUGGGACUGGUUGGGAACUCGUAGUUCCCUAGUUAUUUUCCUUUGAACUUUUGGGAUUUAAAAACUGUAGUUUGACUUAGACUUAAUUUGGAUUCUAUUUGGGUUGUAAUAACUUUAGUUGUUGUUCAUACUCAUUCCUGGUGAUUCCGGGAGUGUGGAUUUAGACUUGUAGAUUAAUAUUUAUAACUCUGUAGUUUAAUCAUAUUUAUCGAUUUGCAUGCUUUAGUCGGAUAUUUAAGUUGG
RNAcentral lists this long non-coding RNA (1126 nucleotides) under Daucus carota (carrot). RNAcentral's name for it is "long non-coding RNA (DCAR_LNC001812)". The record is from RNAcentral. Lineage: Eukaryota; Viridiplantae; Streptophyta; Magnoliopsida; Apiales; Apiaceae.